This 493-nucleotide ribosomal RNA is filed under the name uncultured bacterium. RNAcentral describes it as "partial 16S ribosomal RNA". It matches the Rfam family "Bacterial small subunit ribosomal RNA", at positions 29 to 507 of the family's 1533-position model. The record is from RNAcentral.
AGUGAACGCUGGCGGUAGGCCUAACACAUGCAAGUCGAACGGCAGCACAGUAAGAGCUUGCUCUUACGGGUGGCGAGUGGCGGACGGGUGAGGAAUACAUCGGAAUCUACUUUUUCGUGGGGGAUAACGUAGGGAAACUUACGCUAAUACCGCAUACGACCUACGGGUGAAAGCAGGGGAUCUUCGGACCUUGCGCGAUUGAAUGAGCCGAUGUCGGAUUAGCUAGUUGGCGGGGUAAAGGCCCACCAAGGCGACGAUCCGUAGCUGGUCUGAGAGGAUGAUCAGCCACACUGGAACUGAGACACGGUCCAGACUCCUACGGGAGGCAGCAGUGGGGAAUAUGGGACAAUGGGCGCAAGCCUGAUCCAGCCAUACCGCGUGGGUGAAGAAGGCCUUCGGGUUGUAAAGCCCUUUUUGUUGGGAAAGAAAAGCAGCAGGUUAAUACCCCGCUGUUCUGACGGUACCCAAAGAAUAAGCACCGGCUAACUUCGUG